AAAAAUGGAACGUUGACUAAACAAUUCCUCUAAAUAGAUUUGAUGCAAAUAAAUAACGAUAAGCUUGCAGUGCGAUUAGUUUACGGUGAAAUUAGUUUCCUGCAAGGUUGCAUGAUAUUCUAUUAUUUCUUCAUUAUAAACGUUUAUUGCAAAACUUGUAGAUAUUACCAUCGGGAAAGGAAAAACUUUAGCAUUUACGUGUCCUCGGACUGCAAUUCUGCACACACUCGACGGGGAAUGUCUCCUAACUGAACUCAAUGGCGUUUACUUCUGAGUAGACGAAUUAACCAGGAUACACGGGCACAGCAAUCUGCACCUACCUUUUGUCCGCAGCGCAUUAUUGUGGAAGCCAACGCGAUCAACUAUCCAGCCAGAUAUUUCCUGACACUUUAGAUUCGCUGCUUGGGCGGCAGCCCGAAGAAUACUUAAAGUUCAGCUGAACAACAGCGCUAUUUCCUUUUCAGUAAACAGGCCUAGGAUCGGCUGAAAAUCUACAGCAGCAGACUGAGUGAGAAAACAGCCUAUACCCCGUGGACCUUAAACACGGGAAUACUUUCAUUGUGGCCAAAAACUUUAUGGGACUUGGGUCUUCACCACAGAGACGCUGAGACGCCCAAGAAGCGGGUCACCUAAGCCGAUAGCGGGGUGUGUGUGUGUAUGCAAAAAUAAAUAAAUGCUGUGGUUGUUUUUUUAUUAACCUACAGGCACACAACAAAAGACGUGGCAAUGCAAAACAGCAGCAGAUGUGUCAAAGCAAGCACAGCGAAUACAGUACAUCGUUGGCAUGUAGCCUUCGGAGGGAGGCCUGGUCGUCAAUGCGGCCCGCGGGCCGGAGAAGGUUAGCCGUCUCUGAGCAUCAGGACUUGGUCAAAUGAAUACACUAUCCAACCAGCUUGACUGUGCCUGGUGAUGAAUAGUCAUUUGGAGAUCGAUGGUGUAAAAUGAUUUUACGCUAUCAACUGACACCUCAUUCAGAGCAUCUAAUUAACUUCUGAAGCCAACUGACCACUUCCGAGAUGGUCCACAGCGUCAAAUUAGCUAAUUAAAUUCGAUUAUUGCAGCUUUAUGCCGGCAUCAGCGUUUGAAGCGUCGUCGUCAGUAUGUGGAGAUCCUUGAGGUUUUCCGCAGCAUUUUCGUGGGGUUUGAGGCUGUUCCCCUUUUUUAGUAUGUGGAUUGUGUCCGUUCGUUCUCUUGCGCGGAGACUGACCCGUCUGGCUCAAGCCAAUAGCAGCGGGGCAUUGUUGGCAGACGACAUAAGGCAUCGCGUUAGAAGGUGGCGCAGAGCAAGGACCCAUGGCGGGCACGGCUAUUGUUUGGCCCCCGAAGAGCGUUGCCCGAGUUAAUACGGGCUGGCACGCGGCAGUCAUCUGUAUUCUGGAUAGGACCGUGACCCACUUACCACUGCUUCUUGCUUGAUCUUCUGGUCUCCCUUUCCAAAAAAUCUAAGCUCAACUCCCCGCGACAAUCUCUCCCCGCCCCCGCGCCUUUCUCUGCGUUCAGCCUAUAUAUACUUAUCCACUUAGGAAACCACUUUGUGCAUCUAAGGAAGUGGGUUCUGGCCCAAGGAGAUUUAGACUUCAAUAAAUGUGUUAGCCUUUAA
Molecule: long non-coding RNA, 1600 nt
Organism: Podarcis raffonei (Aeolian wall lizard)
Lineage: Eukaryota; Metazoa; Chordata; Lepidosauria; Squamata; Lacertidae
Exons: 2
Source: RefSeq, a predicted model, not a curated record